GGCGUGCUUAACACAUGCAAGUCGAACGGUGAUGGCCAGCUUGCUGGUCUGAUCAGUGGCGAACGGGUGAGUAACACGUGAGCAACCUGCCCCUGACUCUGGGAUAACGACCGGAAACGGUCGCUAAUACCGGAUAUGAGACGUACAGGCAUCUGUUGCGUCUGGAAAGUUUUUCGGUCAGGGAUGGGCUCGCGGCCUAUCAGCUUGUUGGUGGGGUAACGGCCUACCAAGGCGACGACGGGUAGCCGGCCUGAGAGGGCGACCGGCCACACUGGGACUGAGACACGGCCCAGACUCCUACGGGAGGCAGCAGUGGGGAAUAUUGCACAAUGGGCGCAAGCCUGAUGCAGCGACGCCGCGUGAGGGAUGACGGCCUUCGGGUUGUAAACCUCUUUCAGCAGGGAAGAAGCGCAAGUGACGGUACCUGCAGAAGAAGCGCCGGCUAACUACGUGCCAGCAGCCGCGGUAAUACGUAGGGCGCAAGCGUUGUCCGGAAUUAUUGGGCGUAAAGAGCUCGUAGGCGGUCUGUCGCGUCUGCUGUGAAAACCUCAGGCUCAACCUGGGGCUUGCAGUGGGUACGGGCAGACUAGAGUGCGGUAGGGGUGACUGGAAUUCCUGGUGUAGCGGUGGAAUGCGCAGAUAUCAGGAGGAACACCGAUGGCGAAGGCAGGUCACUGGGCCGCAACUGACGCUGAGGAGCGAAAGCAUGGGGAGCGAACAGGAUUAGAUACCCUGGUAGUCCAUGCCGUAAACGUUGGGCACUAGGUGUGGGGCUCAUUCCACGAGCUCUGUGCCGCAGCAAACGCAUUAAGUGCCCCGCCUGGGGAGUACGGCCGCAAGGCUAAAACUCAAAGAAAUUGACGGGGGCCCGCACAAGCGGCGGAGCAUGCGGAUUAAUUCGAUGCAACGCGAAGAACCUUACCAAGGCUUGACAUACACCGGAAAAGUGCAGAGAUGUGCUCCCCGUAAGGUCGGUGUACAGGUGGUGCAUGGUUGUCGUCAGCUCGUGUCGUGAGAUGUUGGGUUAAGUCCCGCAACGAGCGCAACCCUCGUCCCAUGUUGCCAGCGGGUUAUGCCGGGGACUCAUGGGAGACUGCCGGGGUCAACUCGGAGGAAGGUGGGGAUGACGUCAAAUCAUCAUGCCCCUUAUGUCUUGGGCUUCACGCAUGCUACAAUGGCCGGUACAAAGGGCUGCGAUACCGCGAGGUGGAGCGAAUCCCAAAAAGCCGGUCUCAGUUCGGAUUGGGGUCUGCAACUCGACCCCAUGAAGUCGGAGUCGCUAGUAAUCGCAGAUCAGCAACGCUGCGGUGAAUACGUUCCCGGGCCUUGUACACACCGCCCGUCAAGUCACG
Molecule: ribosomal RNA, 1352 nt
Filed under: Cellulomonas septica
Lineage: Bacteria; Bacillati; Actinomycetota; Actinomycetes; Micrococcales; Cellulomonadaceae
Description: bacterial SSU rRNA
Rfam family: Bacterial small subunit ribosomal RNA
Source: RNAcentral